CGGCGGACGGGUGAGUAACGCGUGGGUACGUCGCCUCAUACAGGGGGAUAACAGUUAGAAAUGACUGCUAAUACCGCAUAAGACCACAGCACCGCAUGGUGCGGGGGUAAAAACUCCGGUGGUAUGAGAUGGACCCGCGUCUGAUUAGCUAGUUGGUAAGGUAACGGCUUACCAAGGCGACGAUCAGUAGCCGACCUGAGAGGGUGACCGGCCACAUUGGGACUGAGACACGGCCCAA
RNAcentral lists this ribosomal RNA (238 nucleotides) under uncultured bacterium. Its description in RNAcentral is "partial 16S ribosomal RNA". It matches the Rfam family "Bacterial small subunit ribosomal RNA", at positions 96 to 334 of the family's 1533-position model. The record is from RNAcentral.